This 301-nucleotide ribosomal RNA is filed under the name uncultured bacterium. Its description in RNAcentral is "partial 16S ribosomal RNA". It matches the Rfam family "Bacterial small subunit ribosomal RNA", at positions 509 to 807 of the family's 1533-position model. The record is from RNAcentral.
CAGUAGCCUCGGUAAUACAGAGGGUGCGAGCGUUAAUCGGAUUUACUGGGCGUAAAGCGUGCGUAGGCGGCUUUUUAAGUCGGAUGUGAAAUCCCUGAGCUUAACUUAGGAAUUGCAUUCGAUACUGGGAAGCUAGAGUAUGGGAGAGGAUGGUAGAAUUCCAGGUGUAGCGGUGAAAUGCGUAGAGAUCUGGAGGAAUACCGAUGGCGAAGGCAGCCAUCUGGCCUAAUACUGACGCUGAGGUACGAAAGCAUGGGGAGCAAACAGGAUUAGAUACCCCAGUAGUCCCUGUCUCUUAUAC